CCCAGAGUACCAGGCGGCUGGAGCACUGGGGGACACCCGGACAGAACCCUCCCUGGACCAAGUCCUGGUCCAGGAACGGGAUGAAGCCAUUGCCAAGAAGCAGGCAGUGGAGGCGGAGCUGCAGAGGUGCAAAGCCAGGCUACACGCCGUGGAGGCCCAGCUGCUGGAGGUCCUGGAGGAGAAACUGAGGCUGAGGCGGGAGCUGGAGGCCUGGGAGGAGGACGUGCAGCAGCUGGUGUGGCAGCAGGUCCAGAAUCAGCUGCAGAGAGAGGCCAAGGGUAUUCAGGGAGCCCAUGUGGACCCUGGAGCUGCCAGGACCCCCGGGUCCAGAUUCUCCCUGGGUUGGGGACGUUGGUGGUGA
RNAcentral lists this small RNA (361 nucleotides) under Pongo abelii (Sumatran orangutan). RNAcentral describes it as "transcribed unitary pseudogene". Lineage: Eukaryota; Metazoa; Chordata; Mammalia; Primates; Hominidae. The record is from RNAcentral.